This 203-nucleotide signal recognition particle RNA is filed under the name Actinomycetota bacterium. Its description in RNAcentral is "partial signal recognition particle sRNA large type". It matches the Rfam family "Bacterial large signal recognition particle RNA", at positions 65 to 256 of the family's 256-position model. Rfam says of the family: The signal recognition particle (SRP) is a universally conserved ribonucleoprotein involved in the co-translational targeting of proteins to membranes. Archaeal SRP consists of a 7S RNA and homologues of the eukaryotic SRP19 and SRP54 proteins. Lineage: Bacteria; Bacillati; Actinomycetota. The record is from RNAcentral.
CGCUCGAGGGAUCCGGUCUCUGAGGCCAGUACGCCGCCCCCGGGCGACGAUGGCCAGGUCCCGCGCGAUGGUCGCUCGUGAACCAGGUCAGGUCCGGGAGGAAGCAGCCUUAAGCGAUCCCGACCAUGCGCCGCGGGGAAGCCUGGCCGGAGCCCGGGGACGGCGGGAACGCUCAGAGGCCGAUCUCGACAGGGGGUGCACGG